Rhineura floridana is the source of this 4653-nucleotide long non-coding RNA. RefSeq lists it as uncharacterized. The record is from RefSeq and is a predicted model, not a curated record. NCBI's taxonomy places the organism in Eukaryota, Metazoa, Chordata, Lepidosauria, Squamata, Rhineuridae. The transcript has 4 exons.
CGUGAGUCAUUUUUUGGUUGCAAAGAUGUUCGAGAGGGGCUGCAUAGAGGGAGUUCUAAGAUGAAGCCCACCUGCCAGGGAAUGAUGAUGUAUCUCGAAGGGGAGAGCUUCCUGGUGAUGGAGAUGGGUGAUAUGAGGGACCGGUGACCUUCCAGGAGGUGUCCUUGCAUUUCACCGAGGAAAGGUUCCUGUUGGAUCCUGGCCAGAGACCUGUGUACAAGGAGGUUAGGCAGGAGAUUUAUGAGAUGGCGACCUCUCUGGGAGGUAUUUGGGGGAUCAAGGAUGAAGAGAAACCAUCAGAAGUCCCACUGGAAAGAGCUGAGGAUCAGAAGUAUGAAUGGAAAUUGGGAAAUCAGGAUGGAGCAAACAGACAAAUGCAGACACUGGGGGGAUGAAUCCAGUACUGCUCAAGGUGAUAAACAUAACAUUCAAGGGAGUACGCAUCACCUAAAGGAAAUAAGAAUGUCUCCUAAGUGCAGUAAAAUGUUAAGCUACCAAAAUGCCUUGAUCACAGAUAGGAGAAGGCAUAAGAGAGGGAGAUCAGAUAAAUAUAUGGUGCGUGACAGAAGCUUCAGUUACACUGGUGCCCUUUCUUUACAUCAAAUAAGUCAUACAGGGAACAAGCUUUAUAAAUGCUUGGAGUAUGGAAAGAGCUCCAGUCUUAGUAACUCCCUUAAAAAGAUAAAGGUGUCCCCACACUUGUAGUGCGAGUCAUUUCCGACUCUUAGGGUGACGUCUUCCGACGUUUACUAGGCAGACCGUAUAUAUGAGGUGGGAUUGCCAGUUCCUUCCCCGGACUUUCUUUACCCCCCAGCAUAUGCCGGGUACUCCUUUUACCAACCAUGGAUGGAUGGAAGGCUGAGUGGACCUUGACCCCUUUUACCGGAGAUUCGACUUCCUCCUUCUGUUGGAAUCGAACUCCGGCCGUGAGCAGACCUUCAGCAGCGUUACCGCCGCUUACCACUCUGUGCCACGGACAUGAAAGAAAUGAUAAAGGGAACAACCCUUAUAAUUGCUUGGAGUGUGGAAAGAGCUUCAGUCAGAGUAGCCACCUUACUUCACAUCAAAAAUUUCAUACAGGGCACAAACCAUAUGGAUGCUUUGAGUGUGGAAAGAGCUUCAGUCAGAAUGGCCACCUUACUAGACAUCAACAAACUCAUACCGGGGACAAACCAUAUGAAUGCUUGGAGUGAAUACAGCUGUGGAAGAGCUCUGAUCCAAAACCAGAAAGGAAUCUCUUGGUCUCAAGGUUUUGCACCGAGACCCAGAAUCUCUCCCUGGUUCUGUCCCUGCAGUCCCUCGAUGUGUUCCUUGAGAGCGUAGUACACGUGUUGGAGCUCCAGUCACCCUCAGCCCCCUUCUCCUAGAUUCAAGCCUCAUUUUUUUAAAAGACUCUUUCUCUGUCCCCCUCCUGCCAAGGAGGGGUCUGGGAAUCUGGUGAUUUUGUGUGAAUGUGCAUAUUUCUCACUGACCCUGAGAAAACUCAGGCUACUUCCAAUACUUAGAACAAUGGGAUUAUUCUGUUAGACUUGAGGGAACUCUGCCAAGGAAGAGAUAACAUUUAUUCAGUAGCUCUUAAUUAAUUUUGUGUCUUAACGGCUGUCCUUGUUGUUCUUCACACAACACCUCUGGAACGCAUAAUGAGUCACAUAAGAAGGGGUGUGGGUUGGAAAUUGUAGUUUAGCUGGCUCCAGGGGCUUGCCUUAUAGUAACAUGAGUAUCUAAUAUAGCAUCUAUCUAACAAAGCUCUUUCCACUCUCUGGGCAUUUCAUCGUUUCUCCUCUUUAAGGAUCCUUUGAUGUGAAGGAAGAAUGACACUGCAAGAUACACUGAAUGAAACAUUUCCCACACUCUGGACAGCUACAUGGUUUCCCCCCACUGUGAUAUUUUUAAUGUGUAGCAAGGGUAUGAUCCAGACAUUAAUAUUGCUUCUUCCAUGUAUGGGUCCAUUGAUGCACAGAAAGGCUACAACUCUUCUUAAAGCUUUUUCCACAUUCAAAGCUUUUAUAUGGCUGCUUCCCUGUAUGGAUAAUUUGAAGUGCCUGAAGAUGGCCAUCCAGAAUGAAACAAUCAUUUAUAAGGCUUCUCCCCUGUAUGACACCUUUGAUGCGAAUUAAGGUUGCCACUCCGACUGAAGCUCUUUCCACACGCCCAGCAUUUAUAAGGCUUGUCCCCUGUAUGAGUUGUUUGAUGCAAAGUGGGAUUGCCACUGCACCUGAAGCUCUUUCCGCACUCCAAGCACUGAUAAGGUUUGUCCCCUGUAUGAAUCCUUAGUGAAAUUGCCACUCCAACUGAAGCUCUUUCCACACUCCAAGCAUUUAUAAGGUUUGUCCCCUCUAUGAAUUCUUUCAUGUCUAAUAAGAUUGCCACUCAGAUUGAAGCUCUUUCCACACUCCAAUCAUUUCUAGGAGUUUUCCCUGUGUGGAUUCUUUGAUGUGAUGUAAUGGAGUUUCUGUGACUGAAGCUCUUUCCAGGUUCCAAGCAUUCAUACGGUUUUUCCCGUGUGUGGAUUCUAUGAUGUGAUGUAAUGGAGUUUCUGUGACUGAAGCUCUUUCCGCACUCGAAGCAUUGAUAAGGUUUUUCCCCUGUAUUAGUUCUUUGAUGUCUUGUAAGGGUGCCACUGUGACUGAAACCCUUUCCACACUCAAAGCAUUUAUAAGGCUUCUCCCCUGUAUGAGUUCUUUGAGCAAAGUAAGGGUGCCACUGCAUGUGAAGCUCUUUCCACACUGCAAGCAUUCAUAAGGGUUGUCCACUGAAUGAAAUUUGUGAUGUGAAGUAAGGUGGUCAUGACGACUGAAGCUCUUUCCACACUCCAAGCAUUUAUAAGGCUUGUUCCCUGUAUGAGUUCUUUGAUGACUAGUAAGGGCACCACUUUCACUGAAGCUCCUUCCACACUCCAAGCAUUCCUAUGGUUUGUGCCCUGUAUGAAAUUUUUAAUGUGAAGUAAGGUUGCCAUUCUGACUGAAGCACUUUCCACACUCCAAGCAUUUAUAAGGUUUUUCCCCUGUGUGAGCUCUUUGACGUCUAGUAAGGGUGCCACUCACUGAAACUCUUUCCACACUCAACUCAUUUAAUAGGCUUCUCCCCUGUAUGAAUUCUUUGAUGCAAAUAAGUUUGUCCGUCACUGAAACUCUUUCCACACUCAAAACAUUUAUAAGACUUCUCCCCGGUAUGAGUUCUUUGAUGCCCAAUAAGGGUGCCACUCUGACUGACACUCUUUGCACACUCCAAGAAUUUAUAAGGUUUGUCCUCUGUAUGAGUUUUUUGAUGUGAAGUCAGGCUGCCACUGCAUCUGAAGCUCUUUCCACAUUCCAGUCAUUUAUAAGGUUUGUCCCCUGUAUGCGUUUGUUGAUGUCUAGUAAGGGUUCCACUCAGACUGAAGCUCUUUCCACACUCCAAGCAUUUAUAAGGUUUUCCCCCUGUGUGAUUUCUUUGAUGUGACAUAAUGGAGUUUCUGUGACUGAAGCUCUUUCCACACUCCAAACAUUCAUAUGGUUUGUCCCCUGUAUGAGUUCUUUGAUGUGAAGUAAGGUGGCUACUCAGACCGAAGCUCUUUCCACACUCCAAGCAUUUAUAAGGUUUGUCCGCUGUAUGAGUUCUUGGAUGUCUGGUAAGGGUGCCACUGUCACUGAAAGUCUUUCCACACUCAAAGCAUUUAAAAGGCUUGUCCCCUGUAUGAGUUCUUUGAUGUCUAUUAAGGGUGCCACUCUCAAUGAAACUCUUUCCACACUCAACGCAUUUAAUAGGGUUCUCCCCUGUAUGAAUUUUUUGAUGCAAAGUAAGUUUGCCCCUGUCACUGAAACUCUUUCCACACUCAAAACAUUUAUAAGGCUUCUCCCCUGUAUGAGUUCGUUGGUGCCUAGUAAGGCCGUCAUUCAGACUGAAGCUCUUUCCACACUCCAAGCGUUUAUAAAGUUUGUCCCCUGAAUGAGCUCUUUGAUGUGAAGUAAGGCUGCCACUGCAUCUGAAGUUGUUUCCACACCGCAAGUAUUUAUAAGGUUUUUCCCGUGUGAUUUCUUCGAUGUGACAUAAUGGAGUUUCUGUGACUGAAGCUCUUUCCACAUUCCAAGCAUUUAUAAGGUUUGUCCCCUGUAUGAGUUUGUUGAUGUCUACUAAGGGUUACCCUUACACUACACUCAACAUCAAAGGCCCUCCGGGUGCCUCCUCCGAGGGAAGCUCAGAGGAUGGCAACAAGGGAGAGGGCCUUCUCAGUGGUGGCCCUCAAAUUAUGGAAUGAUGUUUGUGACGAGGUGCGCCUGGCACCAACACUGUUAUCUUUUCAGUGCCAGGUCAAGACUUUCCUCUUCUCCCAGGUAUUUUAGCAUGUGUUUUAAAUUGUUUUAAACUUUUAAAUUGUGUUUUAAAUUGUUUUUUAAAAAUGUGUUUUAGAUUUGUAUAUCUGUUUUUAAUGUUUUUAGUUACUGUAAGAUGCCCAGAGAGCUUCGGCUAUGGGGCGGUAUAUAAAUACAAUCAAUCAAUCAAUCAAUCAAUCAAUCAAUCAAUCAAUCAAUCAAUCAAUCAAUCAAUCAAUCAAUCAAUCAAUCAAUAAAUAAAUAGAGUGAGUGAGUGAGUGAGUGAGUGAGUGAGUGAGUGAGUGAGUGAGUGAGUGAGUGAGUGAGUGAGUGAGUGAGUGAGUGAGUGAGUGAGUGAGUG